This 14644-nucleotide long non-coding RNA is filed under the name Medicago truncatula (barrel medic). RNAcentral's name for it is "long non-coding RNA (MTRU_LNC002934)". The record is from RNAcentral. Lineage: Eukaryota; Viridiplantae; Streptophyta; Magnoliopsida; Fabales; Fabaceae.
UUCCAUCGGUAAACCUUCAAGUGACCUUCCGGUAACUCUCUCCACGGCUUGGUUCCUAAUAUUUGCUGCACGUCGGCAAUCUCCAAGCUUGGAUUCAAGCGAGUAAGAUGGAAUUGAUCCUGACACCACUGCACUGACAACCUCCUCGUCUUCCAUGGACAUAACUUUUUGGUCGGAGAUUUUGGGUGGAGGUAACGUAGGUAGCUUCUUCGGCAAGACUCCUUGAGUGGUUUUUGCAGCAAUGUCUUCUUCUUCUUCAUCGUAAUGAAGGAUGAAGGCAAUGCCGAAGAAAGUGAUAAGGUAGACAAAGGAAGCGAUGAGGGAAACAAGAGCGAGAAUCUCAGAGAUUGUGAGGACGUGGAGAGGUGUAGAGGUUCGGAUCUUUUCACGCCACCUGUUGAGAAGAAAGUAGGCGACGGAGAAGAAGAGACCAAAGAAAACAACAUUUGUUAAGUACAGUAUUGACUGUGAAUCCUCCUGCUUCUUUUGGUUCUUCUUCUCAUUUUUGCUUAUUUUCUGCUGAACGCCCAUUUCUCUGAUUUGAAAAAGAAAAGAAAGAAAGGAGUUCAGUUCAGUUUAGGGGAUGAUUGAUGAUGGGUAAUACUAAUUGCUUGAAAAUGAUUUUCAAUGUUAUUAUUAUUUAUAGACAAAUUAAGAGUACUCAGAGAGUGAGUGAGGAAUUAGGUAUAUGCAAUAAUGUUAUUUUUUUUGUUAACAGAAGUUUCGUAGCUAGAUCGUAAUGAACUCGUGCACAACCAGAAGGAAUAUUGUAAUGUGUAGAUAAUAAACUAGCUAGAAGCCUUGUGUUGACUAAACUAAAUUAUUUCCCUGCAGAAACUAAUUAAACUAUACUAUAUAUUUUUGUUGUUCACUGAAACUAAUUAGUUUAAUAUAUCACUUGCGCUGCAAAAAAAAAAACGUGUUUAUGAUAUAAAAUUAAGACAAUUAAAAAAGAGAUAGAGAAUAUGAAAGUCUAUUAAUGUAUCAUUCUCUUUCUUUUAACGUGUGUUUUUACACCAAUUAAUAUAUGAGUUCAAUUUAUAGUAUCCAAUUAUAGGUCUUAACUUUGUAGGAUGCUCUCAAAUAGGUCUAUGAGUUUAUGAAUAUUUUAAAUAGGUCUCUGACUUAAUCGAAAUUUAUUCUUAUUGAAAAGUAUAGGGAUCAAACUGAUAGUAAGUUGUUUAAAAUAUAAGGACUUAGUUGAUAGUUUAAUAGAGCCGGUGAGCUUUCUAUAAUAUUCAUAAUCUCAUAGGCUUAUUUAAUAGCGACGUAAUACAAACUAAAAGACUAAUUUGAUUGUGUAAGCAAACAUGUGUUGAUAUUGUGUUUUUCUUUCCAAUUUGUACAACUCAUUAUAUCCAUUUUAAAAAGUCAACAAUAAUUCAAUCGAAUUAUAACAUAAUUAGACUUGUGCUGAAGUUGUUUGGAAUAAGGUUAAGUUCACAGCAAAAGUAGGUUAAUAAUUCAAUCACGAGUAUGAUCAAAUGAAAUGAACUGAUUCUGAAUGCACGAACAAUGAUCAAAAUGGUGCGGAUACAAAGGUAGGACUUGAGGUUUAAAACUGCUUUACCCAGUACGAAUCAAAACAACUGCUGAUAAAAUGCCAAAACACAAAAACGAGGAUACAUAAAAACAUCGGAAUCUAAGUUCCUUCUCUAGGUAUCUACAUUGUCGGACUUCAAGUGAGCCGAACGCUGAAUCCCAACCAUGGUUCUCUCUAGGCUCUAAAGCAUAUCUUCUAUGUACUCACCCAUGUAAGUGAGUUAUAAACAAUGUUUAGUUCACAUUUUUGGUAGGAAAGAUAUAAAUUGAUGUACUACUUGAUUCAUAUUUAAUAAUAACUUAUUUAAAAAAUUUUUUUUUUUUUUUUGUUACAACUUAUUUAAAAUAUAUGAUUUAUUAAAUUUAAGUAUUUGUAUUAUGAGGGAAUCUUCUUUUUUUUUUCCGAAAAGUUUUCUUCGAUUGCUUGGGUCCUUCUUGAGGCGUUAUUAGGCACCAAAUGUGUACAUCUUCCCCAGUUGAGAUUCGAACUUGGCGAAGUUAAUUAAAGUCUACACAUAAUUCUUUUCAGGGGCGGAUCUGCUUAAGGCAGGGUGUGGCAAUAGCCACACCAGCCAGCCCAAUUUGUUUUAAAAAAUUAUAUUUCUUCAUAAGAAACACACUCAGCCCAACCCAAUACUACCAACAGCCUACCUUUUCCUUACCAAUACCAAAACACACACCAAACAUAUUUAUUUCUUUCUUCCAAAUUUCCUCUAAGAUUUCUCUCACCCUUCUUUCCUCUCCUUAUGACCUCACCCUCACCUCUCGUCUCAACCAAGUUUUAACAUUUUCGUCUCUUGACGCACCGCCUCACUCUUUCUUUGUUAUUAACAUUUAGAUUGAAAUUGAAAUUGAAUGGUUUCUAAUCUCAUUUAUUCGAAAUUGAAUGGUUUAUGAUGUCUCUUAGUUAUUGGGCAAAAAAAUUAGCCUCACUGAUUUUUUAUGUCCAGAUCCGCCCCUGAUUCUUGUGGGUGCGAAUGAAUCAAUUUAUUAGUUAUGAAAAAUAAUUUGGAAAUAUGAUGAACUUUUACUUUCCUUUCAAAAUAAAAUGAUGAACUUUUUCUACCUUUUUUUUUUUGUUGAGAAUAUUGUUGUACUUUUACUUGUAGAAUAAUUUUAACCAGUUUAUUUAUUUCACUUGAUAUCACAUUUAAUUUCAAUGCCCCAUUAAAAUAUAUGUUUGCCAUUUUAAUUUUACGAAACAUAACUUAGCACGUACUCCCUCAAGUCUUUUUUAUUCAUCGUUUUUGUCGGUAUUUUUUUUUUCUCUUACUUAUUUAUCUUUUUCAAAGUUAAUGCAAUAUUAGUUAUUAUUUUAUCAAUAAUACCCUUUAGUAUUUAUUGAAAUAUGGAAAUAAGUAAAAUGAGAUAAUAGAUACUCAAGAGUGAUAUUGAAAAAAUAUAAAUAAUUCUAUCAGAAAUAAUAAAAUAUAUUGUCUUUUUUCUUCUUCUUUUCUUCUUAAUUUGGAACAAAAAUUUAUUGAUCUUCUUGUUUGUGUAAAUAAACCUAAAAUGAAGUUGAAUUGCUUGGAUUCAUUAUCGCUUUGGAUUGAGGGAGAUUCUUCUAGCGCGCUUCUUGCGUUAAAAAAAUCAGAAUUGGUUCCUUGUAUUUUGCGUAAUAGAUGGCAUAAUUAUUUCACUUUGGAUCUUCACGUUCUUUCUUCUCAUAUUUUUGGUGGGAUGCUAUGCCUGAUUUUACUAGGGAAGAUAUCUUUAGGGACAAAUAUGGCAUGCCAUAUUAUCAUUUUCCUUAAUUUUGCAUGAUUUUCAUCUUUUCUUUCUCCGUUGUUUUUUAGAGGGUUUUGGUUUGGUCCCCUCCUCUCUUGUACAUAUUUUCCCUUUUUUUCUAAUAAAUUUAUAUGAGUGAGUGGCAGAGGAUGGGGGUUUCUUGGGGGUACCGACCUAGUCGGGAUGUGUAAGCUUCUCUUUGGUGUCUUCCACACUCUUAGAUCAAAACAUAAAAUGACAACAAAAAAUAAACGAAAUAAUUUGUCAACUAUAAACAACAAAGCAACAACAUAAUUAAAAAUAUAAUCAAAAUCUCAUACCAAUACUAUGAUAAUAGCACGACUUUGCUCUUUAGAUGAGAACUGACACAUACUAAAAUACUAAAAAUAUUUUUUCUUUCUAAAAUGAAAAUAAAAGAAUCAAACUAAGUCCUCUAUAAUUUCUUCUGUACAAACUUUGGAAAGAUAUGAUCCCGUCACAUGGUGUUUACAAAAACAAAGUAUAGUUUGCGGGCUAUGUCUUCAUCCUCCUACAUUGAAGUUUCUUUUAUUUUUCUUGAUGAUACAUGCAUGGUUAUUUACCUCACAAUUGUGGUAUUGUCUCAUGAAGCAACUUUGGUGACAUCUUUAUUCGAUCUGUUGUAUUUCAUGUGGCUUUUAACAAGCUGCCCGGCUGCAAUUGCAGACAUGAGUGAGAGCUCUCCUGCAAGGACUGAACCAGCUACUAUAGUUGCCAGUUGCCUGGAAUUUGCUCCUGGAGUCUCUUUACUAGCUCCUUUAACACCAAGUAAAUUUAGACAAGCUGAUUGCGACGCAAGUUGUGUGCCCCCUCCUACUGUGCCCACCUCAAUGGAAGGCAUAGUGACUGAGAUAUGAAGGUCCUUUCCGUCAUUCACGGCUUCCAUCAUGGUCAUACAGUGAGAACUUUCAACAUUCUGAGCAGGAUCUUGUCCUGUAGCCAAGUAAAUUGCAGAAACAAUAUUACUAGCAUGUGCAUUAAAGCCGCCAAGAGCACCAGCCAUGGCUGAACCGGUAAGGUUUUUUAGCAUGUUAAGCUCAACCAAAGACUCCACACUAGUCUUCAGCACUUUCUUCACCACAUCUUCCUUAAUUACAGCCUCACACACCACUGAUUUCCCUCUCCCUUCAAUCCAGUUCACUGCCGCAGCUUUCUUGUCCGAACAAAAAUUUCCAGAUAUACCAAUAACAUCCAUAUCGGGAAAAUCGGUUUGAAGAAAAUCAAGUACGUUUUGUACACCUUUCGAUACCAUGUUCAUCCCCAUUGCAUCACCCGUUGAACAAGUGAACCUAGUGUAUAAAUUCUUUCCAGCCAUAGUAGCUUUAAUACUCUGUAGUCUUGCAAAUCUACUUGACCUAAAUAAAUAUCGCAGAGAAAAUCAAUCACUUAUCCAAAUGAGUAAUUUCAACAAAAUUUAUAGUGAAACAGAAGAAAGUUCAAAAUUGAAAAUUACUUACUUGUUGAAAGUGUGAGAGAGGGAAUCAAAAUUUUGAGGAUCUUCUAAAAAGAAUUUCAACUGAGAAGCUCUUUUGGCGGAGUUGAAUCUUACGACUGGGGCUCGGGUCAUUCCGUCACGGAGGACAACGGCGGAAGCACCACCGGAAACAUAAAUAGCUUUACAGCCUCUAUUGGUGCUUGCAACCAAACAACCUUCGGUUGUUGCCAUGGGCACCGUGUACUCAUUCCCGUCGAGCAACAAAGGACCGGCAACACCCACCGGAAUCUGAACAAACCCUAUGGGCAUCUCGCAACACUGUCCUAAUAUAGAAUCGUAAUCAAAACCUUCCAUCGGUAAACCUUCAAGUGACCUUCCGGUAACUCUCUCCACGGCUUGGUUCCUAAUAUUUGCUGCACGUCGGCAAUCUCCAAGCUUGGAUUCAAGCGAGUAAGAUGGAAUUGAUCCUGACACCACUGCACUGACAACCUCCUCGUCUUCCAUGGACAUAACUUUUUGGUCGGAGAUUUUGGGUGGAGGUAACGUAGGUAGCUUCUUCGGCAAGACUCCUUGAGUGGUUUUUGCAGCAAUGUCUUCUUCUUCUUCAUCGUAAUGAAGGAUGAAGGCAAUGCCGAAGAAAGUGAUAAGGUAGACAAAGGAAGCGAUGAGGGAAACAAGAGCGAGAAUCUCAGAGAUUGUGAGGACGUGGAGAGGUGUAGAGGUUCGGAUCUUUUCACGCCACCUGUUGAGAAGAAAGUAGGCGACGGAGAAGAAGAGACCAAAGAAAACAACAUUUGUUAAGUACAGUAUUGACUGUGAAUCCUCCUGCUUCUUUUGGUUCUUCUUCUCAUUUUUGCUUAUUUUCUGCUGAACGCCCAUUUCUCUGAUUUGAAAAAGAAAAGAAAGAAAGGAGUUCAGUUCAGUUUAGGGGAUGAUUGAUGAUGGGUAAUACUAAUUGCUUGAAAAUGAUUUUCAAUGUUAUUAUUAUUUAUAGACAAAUUAAGAGUACUCAGAGAGUGAGUGAGGAAUUAGGUAUAUGCAAUAAUGUUAUUUUUUUUGUUAACAGAAGUUUCGUAGCUAGAUCGUAAUGAACUCGUGCACAACCAGAAGGAAUAUUGUAAUGUGUAGAUAAUAAACUAGCUAGAAGCCUUGUGUUGACUAAACUAAAUUAUUUCCCUGCAGAAACUAAUUAAACUAUACUAUAUAUUUUUGUUGUUCACUGAAACUAAUUAGUUUAAUAUAUCACUUGCGCUGCAAAAAAAAAAAACGUGUUUAUGAUAUAAAAUUAAGACAAUUAAAAAAGAGAUAGAGAAUAUGAAAGUCUAUUAAUGUAUCAUUCUCUUUCUUUUAACGUGUGUUUUUACACCAAUUAAUAUAUGAGUUCAAUUUAUAGUAUCCAAUUAUAGGUCUUAACUUUGUAGGAUGCUCUCAAAUAGGUCUAUGAGUUUAUGAAUAUUUUAAAUAGGUCUCUGACUUAAUCGAAAUUUAUUCUUAUUGAAAAGUAUAGGGAUCAAACUGAUAGUAAGUUGUUUAAAAUAUAAGGACUUAGUUGAUAGUUUAAUAGAGCCGGUGAGCUUUCUAUAAUAUUCAUAAUCUCAUAGGCUUAUUUAAUAGCGACGUAAUACAAACUAAAAGACUAAUUUGAUUGUGUAAGCAAACAUGUGUUGAUAUUGUGUUUUUCUUUCCAAUUUGUACAACUCAUUAUAUCCAUUUUAAAAAGUCAACAAUAAUUCAAUCGAAUUAUAACAUAAUUAGACUUGUGCUGAAGUUGUUUGGAAUAAGGUUAAGUUCACAGCAAAAGUAGGUUAAUAAUUCAAUCACGAGUAUGAUCAAAUGAAAUGAACUGAUUCUGAAUGCACGAACAAUGAUCAAAAUGGUGCGGAUACAAAGGUAGGACUUGAGGUUUAAAACUGCUUUACCCAGUACGAAUCAAAACAACUGCUGAUAAAAUGCCAAAACACAAAAACGAGGAUACAUAAAAACAUCGGAAUCUAAGUUCCUUCUCUAGGUAUCUACAUUGUCGGACUUCAAGUGAGCCGAACGCUGAAUCCCAACCAUGGUUCUCUCUAGGCUCUAAAGCAUAUCUUCUAUGUACUCACCCAUGUAAGUGAGUUAUAAACAAUGUUUAGUUCACAUUUUUGGUAGGAAAGAUAUAAAUUGAUGUACUACUUGAUUCAUAUUUAAUAAUAACUUAUUUAAAAAAAAAAUUUUUUUUUUUUGUUACAACUUAUUUAAAAUAUAUGAUUUAUUAAAUUUAAGUAUUUGUAUUAUGAGGGAAUCUUCUUUUUUUUUUCCGAAAAGUUUUCUUCGAUUGCUUGGGUCCUUCUUGAGGCGUUAUUAGGCACCAAAUGUGUACAUCUUCCCCAGUUGAGAUUCGAACUUGGCGAAGUUAAUUAAAGUCUACACAUAAUUCUUGUCAGGGGCGGAUCUGCUUAAGGCAGGGUGUGGCAAUAGCCACACCAGCCAGCCCAAUUUGUUUUAAAAAAUUAUAUUUCUUCAUAAGAAACACACUCAGCCCAACCCAAUACUACCAACAGCCUACCUUUUCCUUACCAAUACCAAAACACACACCAAACAUAUUUAUUUCUUUCUUCCAAAUUUCCUCUAAGAUUUCUCUCACCCUUCUUUCCUCUCCUUAUGACCUCACCCUCACCUCUCGUCUCAACCAAGUUUUAACAUUUUCGUCUCUUGACGCACCGCCUCACUCUUUCUUUGUUAUUAACAUUUAGAUUGAAAUUGAAAUUGAAUGGUUUCUAAUCUCAUUUAUUCGAAAUUGAAUGGUUUAUGAUGUCUCUUAGUUAUUGGGCAAAAAAAUUAGCCUCACUGAUUUUUUAUGUCCAGAUCCGCCCCUGAUUCUUGUGGGUGCGAAUGAAUCAAUUUAUUAGUUAUGAAAAAUAAUUUGGAAAUAUGAUGAACUUUUACUUUCCUUUCAAAAUAAAAUGAUGAACUUUUUCUACCUUUUUUUUUUGUUGAGAAUAUUGUUGUACUUUUACUUGUAGAAUAAUUUUAACCAGUUUAUUUAUUUCACUUGAUAUCACAUUUAAUUUCAAUGCCCCAUUAAAAUAUAUGUUUGCCAUUUUAAUUUUACGAAACAUAACUUAGCACGUACUCCCUCAAGUCUUUUUUAUUCAUCGUUUUUGUCGGUAUUUUUUUUUUCUCUUACUUAUUUAUCUUUUUCAAAGUUAAUGCAAUAUUAGUUAUUAUUUUAUCAAUAAUACCCUUUAGUAUUUAUUGAAAUAUGGAAAUAAGUAAAAUGAGAUAAUAGAUACUCAAGAGUGAUAUUGAAAAAAUAUAAAUAAUUCUAUCAGAAAUAAUAAAAUAUAUUGUCUUUUUUCUUCUUCUUUUCUUCUUAAUUUGGAACAAAAAUUUAUUGAUCUUCUUGUUUGUGUAAAUAAACCUAAAAUGAAGUUGAAUUGCUUGGAUUCAUUAUCGCUUUGGAUUGAGGGAGAUUCUUCUAGCGCGCUUCUUGCGUUAAAAAAAUCAGAAUUGGUUCCUUGUAUUUUGCGUAAUAGAUGGCAUAAUUAUUUCACUUUGGAUCUUCACGUUCUUUCUUCUCAUAUUUUUGGUGGGAUGCUAUGCCUGAUUUUACUAGGGAAGAUAUCUUUAGGGACAAAUAUGGCAUGCCAUAUUAUCAUUUUCCUUAAUUUUGCAUGAUUUUCAUCUUUUCUUUCUCCGUUGUUUUUUAGAGGGUUUUGGUUUGGUCCCCUCCUCUCUUGUACAUAUUUUCCCUUUUUUUCUAAUAAAUUUAUAUGAGUGAGUGGCAGAGGAUGGGGGUUUCUUGGGGGUACCGACCUAGUCGGGAUGUGUAAGCUUCUCUUUGGUGUCUUCCACACUCUUAGAUCAAAACAUAAAAUGACAACAAAAAAUAAACGAAAUAAUUUGUCAACUAUAAACAACAAAGCAACAACAUAAUUAAAAAUAUAAUCAAAAUCUCAUACCAAUACUAUGAUAAUAGCACGACUUUGCUCUUUAGAUGAGAACUGACACAUACUAAAAUACUAAAAAUAUUUUUUCUUUCUAAAAUGAAAAUAAAAGAAUCAAACUAAGUCCUCUAUAAUUUCUUAUGUACAAACUUUGGAAAGAUAUGAUCCCGUCACAUGGUGUUUACAAAAACAAAGUAUAGUUUGCGGGCUAUGUCUUCAUCCUCCUACAUUGAAGUUUCUUUUAUUUUUCUUGAUGAUACAUGCAUGGUUAUUUACCUCACAAUUGUGGUAUUGUCUCAUGAAGCAACUUUGGUGACAUCUUUAUUCGAUCUGUUGUAUUUCAUGUGGCUUUUAACAAGCUGCCCGGCUGCAAUUGCAGACAUGAGUGAGAGCUCUCCUGCAAGGACUGAACCAGCUACUAUAGUUGCCAGUUGCCUGGAAUUUGCUCCUGGAGUCUCUUUACUAGCUCCUUUAACACCAAGUAAAUUUAGACAAGCUGAUUGCGACGCAAGUUGUGUGCCCCCUCCUACUGUGCCCACCUCAAUGGAAGGCAUAGUGACUGAGAUAUGAAGGUCCUUUCCGUCAUUCACGGCUUCCAUCAUGGUCAUACAGUGAGAACUUUCAACAUUCUGAGCAGGAUCUUGUCCUGUAGCCAAGUAAAUUGCAGAAACAAUAUUACUAGCAUGUGCAUUAAAGCCGCCAAGAGCACCAGCCAUGGCUGAACCGGUAAGGUUUUUUAGCAUGUUAAGCUCAACCAAAGACUCCACACUAGUCUUCAGCACUUUCUUCACCACAUCUUCCUUAAUUACAGCCUCACACACCACUGAUUUCCCUCUCCCUUCAAUCCAGUUCACUGCCGCAGCUUUCUUGUCCGAACAAAAAUUUCCAGAUAUACCAAUAACAUCCAUAUCGGGAAAAUCGGUUUGAAGAAAAUCAAGUACGUUUUGUACACCUUUCGAUACCAUGUUCAUCCCCAUUGCAUCACCCGUUGAACAAGUGAACCUAGUGUAUAAAUUCUUUCCAGCCAUAGUAGCUUUAAUACUCUGUAGUCUUGCAAAUCUACUUGACCUAAAUAAAUAUCGCAGAGAAAAUCAAUCACUUAUCCAAAUGAGUAAUUUCAACAAAAUUUAUAGUGAAACAGAAGAAAGUUCAAAAUUGAAAAUUACUUACUUGUUGAAAGUGUGAGAGAGGGAAUCAAAAUUUUGAGGAUCUUCUAAAAAGAAUUUCAACUGAGAAGCUCUUUUGGCGGAGUUGAAUCUUACGACUGGGGCUCGGGUCAUUCCGUCACGGAGGACAACGGCGGAAGCACCACCGGAAACAUAAAUAGCUUUACAGCCUCUAUUGGUGCUUGCAACCAAACAACCUUCGGUUGUUGCCAUGGGCACCGUGUACUCAUUCCCGUCGAGCAACAAAGGACCGGCAACACCCACCGGAAUCUGAACAAACCCUAUGGGCAUCUCGCAACACUGUCCUAAUAUAGAAUCGUAAUCAAAACCUUCCAUCGGUAAACCUUCAAGUGACCUUCCGGUAACUCUCUCCACGGCUUGGUUCCUAAUAUUUGCUGCACGUCGGCAAUCUCCAAGCUUGGAUUCAAGCGAGUAAGAUGGAAUUGAUCCUGACACCACUGCACUGACAACCUCCUCGUCUUCCAUGGACAUAACUUUUUGGUCGGAGAUUUUGGGUGGAGGUAACGUAGGUAGCUUCUUCGGCAAGACUCCUUGAGUGGUUUUUGCAGCAAUGUCUUCUUCUUCUUCAUCGUAAUGAAGGAUGAAGGCAAUGCCGAAGAAAGUGAUAAGGUAGACAAAGGAAGCGAUGAGGGAAACAAGAGCGAGAAUCUCAGAGAUUGUGAGGACGUGGAGAGGUGUAGAGGUUCGGAUCUUUUCACGCCACCUGUUGAGAAGAAAGUAGGCGACGGAGAAGAAGAGACCAAAGAAAACAACAUUUGUUAAGUACAGUAUUGACUGUGAAUCCUCCUGCUUCUUUUGGUUCUUCUUCUCAUUUUUGCUUAUUUUCUGCUGAACGCCCAUUUCUCUGAUUUGAAAAAGAAAAGAAAGAAAGGAGUUCAGUUCAGUUUAGGGGAUGAUUGAUGAUGGGUAAUACUAAUUGCUUGAAAAUGAUUUUCAAUGUUAUUAUUAUUUAUAGACAAAUUAAGAGUACUCAGAGAGUGAGUGAGGAAUUAGGUAUAUGCAAUAAUGUUAUUUUUUUUGUUAACAGAAGUUUCGUAGCUAGAUCGUAAUGAACUCGUGCACAACCAGAAGGAAUAUUGUAAUGUGUAGAUAAUAAACUAGCUAGAAGCCUUGUGUUGACUAAACUAAAUUAUUUCCCUGCAGAAACUAAUUAAACUAUACUAUAUAUUUUUGUUGUUCACUGAAACUAAUUAGUUUAAUAUAUCACUUGCGCUGCAAAAAAAAAAACGUGUUUAUGAUAUAAAAUUAAGACAAUUAAAAAAGAGAUAGAGAAUAUGAAAGUCUAUUAAUGUAUCAUUCUCUUUCUUUUAACGUGUGUUUUUACACCAAUUAAUAUAUGAGUUCAAUUUAUAGUAUCCAAUUAUAGGUCUUAACUUUGUAGGAUGCUCUCAAAUAGGUCUAUGAGUUUAUGAAUAUUUUAAAUAGGUCUCUGACUUAAUCGAAAUUUAUUCUUAUUGACAAGUAUAGGGAUCAAACUGAUAGUAAGUUGUUUAAAAUAUAAGGACUUAGUUGAUAGUUUAAUAGAGCCGGUGAGCUUUCUAUAAUAUUCAUAAUCUCAUAGGCUUAUUUAAUAGUGACGUAAUACAAACUAAAAGACUAAUUUGAUUGUGUAAGCAAACAUGUGUUGAUAUUGUGUUUUUCUUUCCAAUUUGUACAACUCAUUAUAUCCAUUUUAAAAAGUCAACAAUAAUUCAAUCGAAUUAUAACAUAAUUAGACUUGUGCUGAAGUUGUUUGGAAUAAGGUUAAGUUCACAGCAAAAGUAGGUUAAUAAUUCAAUCACGAGUAUGAUCAAAUGAAAUGAACUGAUUCUGAAUGCACGAACAAUGAUCAAAAUGGUGCGGAUACAAAGGUAGGACUUGAGGUUUAAAACUGCUUUACCCAGUACGAAUCAAAACAACUGCUGAUAAAAUGCCAAAACAAAAAAACGAGGAUACAUAAAAACAUCGGAAUCUAAGUUCCUUCUCUAGCUAUCUACGCUGUCGGACUUCAAGUGAGCCGGACGCUGAAUCCCAACCAUGGUUCUCUCUAGGCUCUAAAGCAUAUCUUCUAUGUACUACUCACCCAUAUAAGUGAGUUAUACACAAUGUUUACUUCACAUUUUUGGAAGGAAAGAUAAAAAUUGUUGUAUUACUACUUUCAUAUUUAAUAACAUAUAUACCAGCCCUACACCCCUGCCAUAUAUUACAUUACUGCUUUUUCAUGGCACCAUGUAAUUCGAGCAUACAAAAUUGAAACUUAAGAGUAAGAAAGUGUCCAUACCUCAAAUUUUACAGUGCCACUUGAAGUUGAAACCUGACGAACUAUGUUCACCAGUCUGUUCACAUAUACAUUUUCUACAUGAUUAUGCAUAAAUCAGUCACUAGAAAUCUAUGGGAAUGCCUAAUAACUUUUAAUCUCAUGACAGAAAUUAAACUUUCAAGUAUGCAGAAUUCACCAUACAAAAGAGACUAUCACGUCUUCCACACAAAAAGCUCACCGCAAAACUGAAUUCACCAGUGCAGAAAGCUCUUUAACAUAAUCCACCAAUUUACAAAGCAUGACAGUAACCUAAUCAAAGACACUACCAAAAUGAAACAAGAAUAACAGAGAUACAAGUUACAAUGAUAGAUACAAUGAACGCAAAAAGUGUAACUAAGAAAAGUAGGUAAACGACUAGUAUCACGUGAGAAUCACUUUGGUUAUGAAAAAUUUCUACACUUCAAUUUCUACAUCGAGAUAAUUGUAUCAUUUCAAAUUUAAAUAGAACGUUAAUUAUUAUUUUGAAAAUAACUCUUUUUGAUAUUUAUUGCAGAGAGAAAUAAAUAAAACAAGAUAAUAAAUUGUCAAGAGUGUUAAAGAAAAAGAGAGACAUAACUCUACAAUAGUAAAACUUAUUCAUCUUCUUGCAUGCAUAAAUAAUCGUAAAAUGACAAAUAAAACUAACAAAGUAAUUAACAAAUACAAGCAAUGAAUAUUGAUCAUGAUGGUAAGUACAAGAUUAUUUAUCUCGCACUUGUGGUAUCUACAUAUAACCUAUGUACAACUCAUGAAGCAACUUUGGUGACAUCUUUAUUUGAUCUGUUGUAUUUCAUGUGGCUUUUAACAAGUUGCCCGGCUGCAAUUGCAGACAUGAGUGAGAGCUCUCCUGCAAGGACUGAACCAGCUACUAUAGUUGCCAGUUGCCUGGAAUUUGCUCCUGGAGUCUCUUUACUAGCUCCUUUAACACCAAGUAAAUUUAGACAAGCUGAUUGCGACGCAAGUUGUGUGCCCCCUCCUACUGUACCCACCUCAAUGGAAGGCAUAGUGACUGAGAUAUGAAGGUCCUUUCCGUCAUUCACGGCUUCCAUCAUGGUCAUACAGUGAGAACUUUCAACAUUCUGAGCAGGAUCUUGUCCUGUAGCCAAGUAAAUUGCAGAAACAAUAUUACUAGCAUGUGCGUUAAAGCCGCCAAGUGCACCAGCCAUGGCUGAACCGGUAAGGUUUUUUAGCAUGUUAAGCUCAACCAAAGACUCCACACUAGUCUUCAGCACUUUCUUCACCACCUCUUCCUUAAUUACAGCCUCACACACCACUGAUUUCCCUCUCCCUUCAAUCCAAUUCACUGCCGCAGCUUUCUUGUCCGAACAAAAAUUUCCAGAUAUACCAAUAACAUCCAUAUCGGGAAAAUCGGUUUGAAGAAAAUCAAGUACGUUUUGUACACCUUUCGAUACCAUGUUCAUCCCCAUUGCAUCACCCGUUGAACAAGUGAAUCUAGUGUAUAAAUUCUUUCCUGCCAUAGUAGCUUUAAUACUCUGUAAUCUUGCAAAUCUACUUGACCUAAAUAAAUAUUGCAGAGAAAAUCAAUCAGUUAUCCAAAUAAGUAGUAAUUUCAACAAAUAAAAUUUAAAGUGAAACCGAAGAAAGUUCAAAAUUGAAAAUUACUUGUUGAAAGUGUGAGAGAGGGAAUCAAAAUUUUGAGGAUCUUCUAAAAAGAAUUUCAACUGAGAAGCUCUUUUGGCGGAGUUGAAUCUUACAACGGGGGCUCUGGUCAUUCCGUCGCGGAGCACAACAGCGGAAGCACCUCCGGAAACAUAAAUAGCUUUACAGCCUCUGUUGGUGCUUGCAACCAAACAACCUUCGGUUGUUGCCAUGGGCACCGUGUAUUCAUUCCCGUCGAGCAACAAAGGACCGGCAACACCCACCGGAAUUUGAACAAACCCUAUCGGCAUCUCGCAACACUGUCCUAAUAUAGAAUCGUAGUCAAAACCUUUCAUCGGUAAACCUUCAAGUGACCUUCCGGUAACCCUCUCCACUGCUUGGUUCCUAAUCUUUGCUGCACGACGGCAAUCUCCGAGCUUCGACUCAAGGGAGUAAGAAGGAAUUGAUCCCGAUACCACUGCACCGACAACCUCUUCGUCUUCCAUGGACAUAACUUUUUGGUCAGAUAUCUUCGGUGGUGUUAACAUAGGUAGCUUCUUCGGCACAACUCCUCCGGUGGGUUUUGCAGAAUUGUCGACUACUUCGUCUUCAUCAUCAUCGUAAUGAAUGAUGAAGGCAGUGCCGAAGAAAGCAAUAAGGUAGACGAAGGAAGCGAUGAGGGAAACUACAGCAACAAUCUCAGAGACUGUGAGGAUGUGGAGAGGUGUAGAGGUUCGGAUCUUUUCACGCCACCUGUUAAGAAGAAAGUACGCGGCGGAGAAGAAGAGACCAAAGAAAACAGCGUUUGUUAAAUACAGUGAAGAAGAAGGUUGUUGUGACUGUGAAUCCUGCUGCUGCCUUUGGUUCUUCUUCUCAUUUUUGCUUAUUUUCUGCUGAACGUCCAUCUCUCUCUCUCUCUUUCUCUUGGUUAUUA